Small nuclear RNA from Dermacentor andersoni, 190 nucleotides. RefSeq annotates it as U2 spliceosomal RNA. NCBI's taxonomy places the organism in Eukaryota, Metazoa, Arthropoda, Arachnida, Ixodida, Ixodidae. The record is from RefSeq and is a predicted model, not a curated record.
AUACAGGUGGUCGGUGCUGGUCAAAGUGUAGUAUCUGUUCUUAUCACCUCAGUAUCUGAUACGGGCUCUAUUUGAACCUAGGAUAUUAAACUUACUUUUGGAAGUUGGUGGAGUACGUGCUUGAAGCCUGCUUCAGCUCCGCCGUGGGUCAGCCCGGUAUUGCAAUAUUUUAGGGAUCGAUGCACAGUUC